UACGUAGGGAGCAAGCGUUGUCCGGAAUCAUUGGGCGUAAAGCGCGCGUAGGUGGCUUCGUAAGUCCGUUGUGAAAGUCAAAGGCUCAACCUUUGAAAGCCGAUGGAUACUGCGAAGCUAGAGUACGGAAGAGGCGAGUGGAAUUCCUGGUGUAGCGGUGGAAUGCGCAGAUAUCAGGAGGAACACCAAUAGCGAAGGCAGCUCGCUGGGACGUUACUGACACUGAGGCGCGAAAGCGUGGGGAGCGAACAGG
This 253-nucleotide ribosomal RNA is filed under the name uncultured bacterium. Its description in RNAcentral is "partial 16S ribosomal RNA". It matches the Rfam family "Bacterial small subunit ribosomal RNA", at positions 524 to 776 of the family's 1533-position model. The record is from RNAcentral.